RNAcentral lists this ribosomal RNA (253 nucleotides) under uncultured bacterium. Its description in RNAcentral is "partial 16S ribosomal RNA". It matches the Rfam family "Bacterial small subunit ribosomal RNA", at positions 524 to 776 of the family's 1533-position model. The record is from RNAcentral.
UAAGGAGGGUGCGAGCGUUGUUCGGAAUUACUGGGCGUAAAGCGCGUGUAGGCGGAUAUAUAAGUCAGGUGUGAAAUCCCUUGGCUUAACUGAGGAAGUGCAUUUGAAACUGUAUAUCUUGAGUACGAUAGAGGAGAGUGGAAUUCCCAGUGUAGAGGUGAAAUUCAUAGAUAUUGGGAAGAACACCGGUGGCGAAGGCGGCUCUCUGGAUCGAUACUGACGCUGAUACGCGAAAGCGUGGGGAGCAAACAGG